ACAAUUCGAAAGAAUAUAAGUACAAAUCUUAUAAUUUUAUUUAAUGCAAUUUCCACCACAUCAAGGUCAAAAUAAUUUAGCAUCAUGUUUCAUUCUAAACAUCAGGCAAUGGUGGAGGCGAAACCGGACCAUCAGGAACAAGAGGUGGGAAAGGAAUCACGGGAGGGAUUGGAAUGCUGGGAAAUGGUGGAAGUGGGAAUGGAAAGCUAGGUAAUGGUGGAAGUGGGAAUGGAAAGCUAGGUAAUGGUGGAAGUGGGAAUGGAAAGCUAGGUAAUGGUGGAAAUGGGAAUAUUUCAGGAAGUGGUGGGAACGGGAAUGGGAAUUCAAAAGGUGGUUCUCCGGGGAAUGUGAAAUCCUUUUCCGCACUUUUUUCAUUAGAAACAUCUGAUUUUUCAUGAAUCGGACGAGCCUCUCCCAAACAUGUGAGGCACACAAGCGAGAUCGCCAAGACCAAGAUCAUUACUUUGGAAGCCAUUUCUUAAGUGUGUGUGUGUGUGUUUCAGUGUUUGGGAGGUGAAUGUAAACUAUA
RNAcentral lists this long non-coding RNA (529 nucleotides) under Daucus carota (carrot). RNAcentral's name for it is "long non-coding RNA (DCAR_LNC000092)". The record is from RNAcentral. Lineage: Eukaryota; Viridiplantae; Streptophyta; Magnoliopsida; Apiales; Apiaceae.